GCAUAACGCGAAGAACCUUACCCACCUUUGACAUGUACGGAAUCCUUUAGAGAUAGAGGAGUGCUCGAAAGAGAGCCGUAACACAGGUGCUGCAUGGCUGUCGUCAGCUCGUGUCGUGAGAUGUUGGGUUAAGUCCCGCAACGAGCGCAACCCUUGCCAUUAGUUGCUACAUUUAGUUGAGCACUCUAAUGGGACUGCCGGUGACAAACCGGAGGAAGGUGGGGAUGACGUCAAGUCCUCAUGGCCCUUAUAGGUGGGGCUACACACGUCAUACAAUGGCUGGUACAAAGGGUUGCCAACCCGCGAGGGGGAGCUAAUCCCAUAAAGCCAGUCGUAGUCCGGAUCGCAGUCUGCAACUCGACUGCGUGAAGUCGGAAUCGCUAGUAAUCGUGGAUCAGAAUGUCACGGUGAAUACGUUCCCGGGUCUUGUACACACCG
RNAcentral lists this ribosomal RNA (438 nucleotides) under uncultured bacterium. Its description in RNAcentral is "bacterial SSU rRNA". It matches the Rfam family "Bacterial small subunit ribosomal RNA", at positions 954 to 1392 of the family's 1533-position model. The record is from RNAcentral.